RNAcentral lists this transfer RNA (73 nucleotides) under bacterium. Its description in RNAcentral is "tRNA-Thr". It matches the Rfam family "tRNA". Rfam says of the family: Transfer RNA (tRNA) molecules are approximately 80 nucleotides in length. The record is from RNAcentral.
GCCACUCUAGCUCAGUUGGUAGAGCAAUCGCUUCGUAAGCGAUAGGUCGUCGGUUCGACUCCGACGAGUGGCU